Molecule: long non-coding RNA, 443 nt
Organism: Notothenia coriiceps (black rockcod)
Lineage: Eukaryota; Metazoa; Chordata; Actinopteri; Perciformes; Nototheniidae
Exons: 2
Source: RefSeq, a predicted model, not a curated record
GGUAAACCAGGUGUUCACAGGUAAACCUGGUGUUCACAGGUAAACCUGGUGUUCACAGGUAAACCUGGUGUUCACAGGUAAACCAGGUGUUCAUAGUUGGUAAACCAGGUGUUCAUAGUUGGUAAACCGGGUGUUCACAGGUACACCGGGUGUUCACAGGUAAACCUGGUGUUCACAGGUAAACCGGGUGUUCACAGGUAAACCAGGUGUUCACAGGUAAACCAGGUGUUCACAGGUAAACCGGGUGUUCACAGGUAAACCGGGUGUUCACAGGUAAACCGGGUGUUCUCACAGCAGGAGGUGAAAAAUAAAAAGGUUGUUUAUGAAUGAGUGAUUUUUAUUUUGAGCGUUAUUUGAAUCUGUUCGAUGAUGAAAUGUGUUUUUGUUUUGAUAUGAAGAGAAAAGAGAGAUUCUGUUCGAACCAAUAAAGUGUUCCUCAAAUA